This 423-nucleotide ribosomal RNA is filed under the name uncultured bacterium. Its description in RNAcentral is "bacterial SSU rRNA". It matches the Rfam family "Bacterial small subunit ribosomal RNA", at positions 358 to 773 of the family's 1533-position model. The record is from RNAcentral.
GGAAUAUUGCACAAUGGGGGAAACCCUGAUGCAGCCAUGCCGCGUGUGUGAAGAAGGCCUUCGGGUUGUAAAGCACUUUCAGUAGGGAGGAAGGUAGUGUAGUUAACACCUGCAUUAUUUGACGUUACCUACAGAAGAAGCACCGGCUAACUCCGUGCCAGCAGCCGCGGUAAUACGGAGGGUGCGAGCGUUAAUCGGAAUUACUGGGCGUAAAGCGCAUGCAGGCGGCCUGUUAAGUCAGAUGUGAAAGCCCGGGGCUUAACCUCGGAAUUGCCUUUGAAACUGGCAGGCUAGAGUCUUGUAGAGGGGGGUAGAAUUUCAGGUGUAGCGGUGAAAUGCGUAGAGAUCUGAAGGAAUACCAGUGGCGAAGGCGGCCCCCUGGACAAAGACUGACGCUCAGAUGCGAAAGCGUGGGGAGCAAAC